This 70-nucleotide transfer RNA is filed under the name Camelus bactrianus (Bactrian camel). It matches the Rfam family "tRNA". Rfam says of the family: Transfer RNA (tRNA) molecules are approximately 80 nucleotides in length. Their secondary structure includes four short double-helical elements and three loops (D, anti-codon, and T loops). The record is from Rfam by way of RNAcentral. RNAcentral also lists the same sequence under 1 other name. Lineage: Eukaryota; Metazoa; Chordata; Mammalia; Artiodactyla; Camelidae.
GGUAAUAGCUCAGUGGUAGAGUGCAUGCUUAGCAUGCACGAGGUCCUAGGUUCAAUCCCCAGUACUUCCA